RNAcentral lists this long non-coding RNA (556 nucleotides) under Homo sapiens (human). RNAcentral describes it as "non-protein coding LINC00470:3". Lineage: Eukaryota; Metazoa; Chordata; Mammalia; Primates; Hominidae. The record is from RNAcentral.
UUUUUUGUAUUUUUAGCAGAGACGGGGUUUCACCCUGUUAGCCAGGAUGGUCUCAUCUCCUGACCUCGUGAUCCGCCCGCCUAGGCCUCCCAAAGUGCUGGGAUUACAGGCGUGAGCCACCGCGCCCGGCCUAAUAAAGGACAAUUUUUAAUAGCCACUGGACUAUUUAAGUGAUCUCUUCUGUCAGUUUCUUUUACCAUCAGAGGACACAGCAGCAAGGUGCCAUCCUAGAAGCAGAGAGCAGACCCUUACCAGACAACCAACCAGCUGGUGCCAUGAUCUUGGACUUCUCGGCCUCCAGAACUGAUGCAAUUGUCCAAUUAUUGGUGAAAUUGUCAUUUCAUGCUAUUGGCUAUUUGAAAUUCCUCCUCUAAUUUCAGAAUAAAUCACUGAAAUUGACAUCGGCCAGUCUGAAUUUCAAGAAAUUACCUGCUGAAGACAAGAGGGAUCUCUUCUUCAGAUUUGCAGUCUGGGGAAGACACAGCCUCUACUGUACUUUAGAACCUGAGAUAUGGUGGUGGAGGGAGCCCUGGGUCGAGUGGUAAGAUUCACCCUU